Molecule: unclassified non-coding RNA, 301 nt
Organism: Callithrix jacchus (white-tufted-ear marmoset)
Lineage: Eukaryota; Metazoa; Chordata; Mammalia; Primates; Cebidae
Rfam family: Metazoan signal recognition particle RNA
About the family: The signal recognition particle (SRP) is a universally conserved ribonucleoprotein. It is involved in the co-translational targeting of proteins to membranes. The eukaryotic SRP consists of a 300-nucleotide 7S RNA and six proteins: SRPs 72, 68, 54, 19, 14, and 9.
Source: Ensembl
UCUGGGCACGGUGGCAUGUGCCUGUAGUCCCAGCUACUCAGGAGGCUGAGGUGGGAGGAUCGCUUGAGCCCAGGAGUUCUGGGCUGUAGUGCUCUAUGCCGAUCGGGUGUCAGCACUAAGUUUGGCAUCAAUAUGGUGACUUCCCGGGAGUCGGGGGGCCACCAGGUUGCCUAAGGAUGGGUGAACCAGCCCAGGUCAGAAAUGGAGCAGGUCAAAACUUCCGUGCUGAUCAGUAGUAGGAUUGUGCCUGUGAAUAGCCACUGCACUCCAGCCUGGGCAACAUAGCGAGAACCCAUCUCUU